AAGAUUUUACCUUAAUUAAAGGAUCUGAGUUGCAUUCAGAAGAUGUGGGUUAGUGACCUGCAAGUCUUA
RNAcentral lists this transfer RNA (69 nucleotides) under Craugastor lauraster. Its description in RNAcentral is "tRNA-Ala". It matches the Rfam family "tRNA". From Rfam's summary of the family: Transfer RNA (tRNA) molecules are approximately 80 nucleotides in length. Lineage: Eukaryota; Metazoa; Chordata; Amphibia; Anura; Craugastoridae. The record is from RNAcentral.